This 492-nucleotide ribosomal RNA is filed under the name uncultured bacterium. RNAcentral's name for it is "partial 16S ribosomal RNA". It matches the Rfam family "Bacterial small subunit ribosomal RNA", at positions 28 to 507 of the family's 1533-position model. The record is from RNAcentral.
GAUGAACGCUAGCUACAGGCUUAACACAUGCAAGUCGAGGGGCAGCGGUAUCGAAAGCUUGCUUUCGGUAGCCGGCGACCGGCGCACGGGUGAGUAACGCGUAUCGAACCUGCCUCAUACUCGGGAAUAGCCUUGCGAAAGUAAGAUUAAUGCCCGGUGUUUUCAGAGUCCCGCAUGAGGCUUUGAACAAAGAUUUAUCGGUAUGAGAUGGCGAUGCGUCCCAUUAGCGUGUUGGCGGGGUAACGGCCCACCAAGGAAUCGAUGGGUAGGGGUUCUGAGAGGAAGGUCCCCCACAUUGGAUCUGAGACCCGGUCCACACUCCUACGGGAGGCAGCAGUGAGGAGUAGUGGUCACUGGGCGGAAGCCUGAACCAGCCAAGUAGCGUGCAGGAAGACGGCCCUCCGGGUUGUAAACUGCUUUUAGUUGGGAAUAAAACGGUGCUCGUGAGCCCCCUUGCAUGUACCAUCAGAAAAAGGACCGGCUAAUUCCGUG